CUCUGGUGGCGAGUGGCGAACGGGUGAGUAAUAUAUCGGAACGUACCCUGGAGUGGGGGAUAACGUAGCGAAAGUUACGCUAAUACCGCAUACGAUCUAAGGAUGAAAGUGGGGGAUCGCAAGACCUCAUGCUCGUGGAGCGGCCGAUAUCUGAUUAGCUAGUUGGUAGGGUAAAAGCCUACCAAGGCAUCGAUCAGUAGCUGGUCUGAGAGGACGACCAGCCACACUGGAACUGAGACACGGUCCAGACUCCUACGGGAGGCAGCAGUGGGGAAUUUUGGACAAUGGGCGAAAGCCUGAUCCAGCAAUGCCGCGUGAGUGAAGAAGGCCUUCGGGUUGUAAAGCUCUUUUGUCAGGGAAGAAACGGUGAGGGCUAAUAUCCCUUGCUAAUGACGGUACCUGAAGAAUAAGCACCGGCUAACUACGUGCCAGCAGCCGCGGUAAUACGUAGGGUGCAAGCGUUAAUCGGAAUUACUGGGCGUAAAGCGUGCGCAGGCGGUUUUGUAAGUCUGAUGUGAAAUCCCCGGGCUCAACCUGGGAAUUGCAUUGGAGACUGCAAGGCUAGAAUCUGGCAGAGGGGGGUAGAAUUCCACGUGUAGCAGUGAAAUGCGUAGAUAUGUGGAGGAACACCGAUGGCGAAGGCAGCCCCCUGGGUCAAGAUUGACGCUCAUGCACGAAAGCGUGGGGAGCAAACAGGAUUAGAUACCCUGGUAGUCCACGCCCUAAACGAUGUCUACUAGUUGUCGGGUCUUAAUUGACUUGGUAACGCAGCUAACGCGUGAAGUAGACCGCCUGGGGAGUACGGUCGCAAGAUUAAAACUCAAAGGAAUUGACGGGGACCCG
Molecule: ribosomal RNA, 843 nt
Filed under: Janthinobacterium sp.
Lineage: Bacteria; Pseudomonadati; Pseudomonadota; Betaproteobacteria; Burkholderiales; Oxalobacteraceae
Description: bacterial SSU rRNA
Rfam family: Bacterial small subunit ribosomal RNA
Source: RNAcentral